Molecule: ribosomal RNA, 253 nt
Filed under: uncultured bacterium
Lineage: Bacteria
Description: partial 16S ribosomal RNA
Rfam family: Bacterial small subunit ribosomal RNA
Source: RNAcentral
UACGUAGGGGCCUAGCGUUGUCCGGAUUUAUUGGGCGUAAAGAGCGUGUAGGCGGCCAGGCAGGUCCGCUGUGAAAACUCGAGGCUCAACCUCGAGAGGUCGGUGGAAACCGUCUGGCUAGAGUCCGGAAGAGGAGAGUGGAAUUCCCGGUGUAGCGGUGAAAUGCGCAGAUAUCGGGAAGAACACCCGUGGCGAAGGCGGCUCUCUGGGACGGUACUGACGCUGAGACGCGAAAGCGUGGGGAGCGAACAGG